UGACGAGAGAACUUAUUGGCCU
Molecule: non-coding RNA, 22 nt
Filed under: Arabidopsis thaliana (thale cress)
Lineage: Eukaryota; Viridiplantae; Streptophyta; Magnoliopsida; Brassicales; Brassicaceae
Source: RNAcentral